RNAcentral lists this ribosomal RNA (402 nucleotides) under uncultured bacterium. Its description in RNAcentral is "bacterial SSU rRNA". It matches the Rfam family "Bacterial small subunit ribosomal RNA", at positions 355 to 774 of the family's 1533-position model. The record is from RNAcentral.
UGGGGAAUCUUGCACAAUGGGGGAAACCCUGAUGCAGCGACGCCGCGUGAGCGAUGAAGCCCUUCGGGGUGUAAAGCUCUUUCGGCAGGAACGAUAAUGACGGUACCUGCAGAAGAAGCUGCGGCUAACUACGUGCCAGCAGCCGCGGUAAUACGUAGGCAGCAAGCGUUGUUCGGAGUUACUGGGCGUAAAGAGUGCGUAGGCGGUUCUCUAAGUUCGGUGUGAAAUCUCCCGGCUCAACUGGGAGGGUGCGCCGGAAACUGGAGGGCUUGAGUAUGGGAGAGGAAAGCGGAAUUCCUGGUGUAGCGGUGAAAUGCGUAGAUAUCAGGAGGAACACCUGUGGUGUAGACGGCUUUCUGGACCAUGACUGACGCUGAGGCACGAAAGCGUGGGGAGCAAACA